ACGGGAGGCAGCAGUGGGGAAUAUUGGGCAAUGGGCGAAAGCCUGACCCAGCAACGCCGCGUGAAGGAAGAAGUUCUUCGGAUUGUAAACUUCUUUUAUGAGGGACGAUAAUGACGGUACCUCAUGAAUAAGCCCCGGCUAACUACGUGCCAGCAGCCGCGGUAAUACGUAGGUGGCAAGCGUUAUCCGGAUUUACUGGGUGUAAAGGGCGCGUAGGCGGGAAAGCAAGUCAGAAGUGAAAUCCAUGGGCUCAACUCAUGAACUGCAUUUGAAACCGUUUAUCUUGAGUGUAGGAGAGGUAGGUGGAAUUCCUAGUGUAGCGGUGAAAUGCGUAGAUAUUAGGAGGAACACCAGUGGCGAAGGCGAUCUACUGGACGAUAACUGACGCUGAGGCGCGAAAGCGUGGGGAGCAAACAGGAUUAGAUACCCUGGUA
Molecule: ribosomal RNA, 434 nt
Filed under: uncultured Oscillospiraceae bacterium
Lineage: Bacteria; Bacillati; Bacillota; Clostridia; Eubacteriales; Oscillospiraceae
Description: partial 16S ribosomal RNA
Rfam family: Bacterial small subunit ribosomal RNA
Source: RNAcentral